Molecule: long non-coding RNA, 525 nt
Filed under: Lathyrus oleraceus (garden pea)
Lineage: Eukaryota; Viridiplantae; Streptophyta; Magnoliopsida; Fabales; Fabaceae
Description: Pisum sativum (pea) long non-coding RNA (PSAT_LNC035459)
Source: RNAcentral
UAGAGAUUCUAAUCACGGUAUGGAUUUAUAACUUAGGAUUUGUUUUAAUAUUUAUCGAAUAUUUCAUAUUAUUUGUAUUACUUUAACUAAAUCAUGCAUAUUAUGUUUUGUUAUGUUAGUACUUUGAUGAAUACAAGUGUGCUCAUUACACGAGACUGGCAGUUGGAACAAAUCAAGGAGGAAUUGUGUCAAUAUUUUAUUGAGAAAAGAUUAAUUAGUAUAUAAUGGUUUCAAAAUAACAUGAAUACUUUGAUGAAGAAUGGUUUCUGGUUGGCAAGUGUAUAGUUCUUUAUAUUUUUAACAGAUUAGUUAUGACUCCAAAUAGGCCGUAUAACAUAUUAGUUUUGACUUGUGUAUAGUUCUUUAUAAUUUUAGUGAUAUCUUUAAUUUCAUGGAUAGAUUAAUGUGUUCAUUCUUGUGUUGGUUUGCUUUAAAAAAUUACAAAUGCUUGAAUUAUGACUCCAAAUGUGUUCAGUGCCUAUCUAUCCUUGUGUUGGUUUGCUUGAAUUAUGACUCCAAAUGUGU